AAAGAGGAAAAAUGCACAAAUUAGCAUAUAUCAAAUCAAUAUUUUCAAUUGAUUAUUAUGAAUUUGAAUGCCAUUGUUUUAUUUUUUUUCUACCUCCACCCAGUGCAGAGGGAAUGGGUUAUGGCGGAGCCUGUGGGGGCUUCACUGGACAAUAGAAGUUGAGUCGCACUGGUAGUCAUGGUGGCAGGUGGAGUAAAACAUAGAUUGUGGGCUGCUGGGAUGAGAGGUUUCGAUGGAAGGAUGGCAGCAGAGGGAGGCGUAGCCGAAAAUGAGAAUCCUGAUGAUGCUGCAGUAGAGAACAAUGUCAUUGGGGUAGCAGUAACCUGACCGUGCAUUUGCCACGCCCAUUUGGGGAGUCCCUGUGAAGAACUUAAUUCAAUUCUCUUAUCUGGAGCCCUUUCCUCGUUUGGAAAGAAACUAGGAUAUACGCUGUUCCAUAGCACUGGAUGAUCUGACAUUAUUGGCCCUUUCAAAGGCAGAUCACCCGCCACUAAAGCUGUUGAGUUCUCCCUAGAACUCUUGCUGUCCAUGUCAUAAGGGCCCAAGUGGAACUGCAGACACCCCUUAUUUUCCUUCGGGCCAUCGCCUAAAGAAUGGGAUAUCCCCAAGUUCAGAUCAAGAUUGUGUUCACUACCUUCGUUACUGGCUUCAGAGAUCAUUUCCCCUUCAUAUGUACUUGGCUCAAAGUUGGUCACUGCCUCCCUUCCAUUAAAUUUGAUAGCUGCCUUGUCAUAAGCCUUUUUGCCAAGGAAUUGCCCCAUUCUUGCUUCCCAUCGGCCACACUUAUGCAGUGUCACCCCUCGAUAUUUUGA
RNAcentral lists this unclassified non-coding RNA (812 nucleotides) under Hevea brasiliensis (rubber tree). Lineage: Eukaryota; Viridiplantae; Streptophyta; Magnoliopsida; Malpighiales; Euphorbiaceae. The record is from RNAcentral.